UGGGGAAUUUUGGACAAUUGGCGCAGGCCUGAUCCAGCAAUGCCGCGUGCAGGAUGAAGGCCUUCGGGUUGUAAACUGCUUUUGUACGGAGCUAAAAGGUCUGCCCUAAUACGGUGGGCUCAUGACGGUACCGUAAGAAUAAGCACCGGCUAACUACGUGCCAGCAGCCGCGGUCAUACGUAGGGUGCGAGCGUUAAUCGGAAUUACUGGGCGUAAAGCGUGCGCAGGCGGUUAUGCAAGACAGAGGUGAAAUCCCCGGGCUCAACCUGGGAACUGCCUUUGUGACUGAAUAGCUAGAGUACGGUGGAGGGGGAUGGAAUUCAGCGUGUAGCAGUGAAAUGCGUAGAUAUGCGGAGGAACACCGAUGGCGAAGGCAAUCCCCUGGACCUGUACUGACGCUCAUGCACGAAAGCGUGGGGAGCAAACA
RNAcentral lists this ribosomal RNA (427 nucleotides) under uncultured bacterium. RNAcentral's name for it is "bacterial SSU rRNA". It matches the Rfam family "Bacterial small subunit ribosomal RNA", at positions 355 to 774 of the family's 1533-position model. The record is from RNAcentral.